This 492-nucleotide ribosomal RNA is filed under the name uncultured bacterium. RNAcentral's name for it is "partial 16S ribosomal RNA". It matches the Rfam family "Bacterial small subunit ribosomal RNA", at positions 29 to 507 of the family's 1533-position model. The record is from RNAcentral.
AGUGAACGCUGGCGGUAGGCCUAACACAUGCAAGUCGAACGGCAGCACAGUAAGAGCUUGCUCUUACGGGUGGCGAGUGGCGGACGGGUGAGGAAUACAUCGGAAUCUACUUUUUCGUGGGGGAUAACGUAGGGAAACUUACGCUAAUACCGCAUACGACCUACGGGUGAAAGCAGGGGAUCUUCGGACCUUGCGCGAUUGAAUGAGCCGAUGUCGGAUUAGCUAGUUGGCGGGGUAAAGGCCCACCAAGGCGACGAUCCGUAGCUGGUCUGAGAGGAUGAGCGGCCACACUGGAACUGAGACACGGUCCAGACUCCUACGGGAGGCAGCAGUGGGGAAUAUUGGACAAGGGGGGCAAGCCUGAUCCAGCCAUACUGCGUGGGUGAAGAAGGCCUUCGGGUUGUAAAGCCCUUUUGUUGGGAAAGAAAAGCAGCAGGUUAAUACCCCGCUGUUCUGACGGUACCCAAAGAAUAAGCACCGGCUAACUUCGUG